AACGCACGAGACCUGCGGACCUGCGGAGGGAUCAUUAAUGAGAAACUGCCCCUCGCGGGUAGAUCUCCCACCCUUUGUAAACUUACCUUUGUUGCUUUGGCAGGCCCGUCUCCGGACCGCCGGCUUCGGCUGGCCAGUGCCUGCCAGAGGAUUCUAAAACUCUGUCUGUCAGUGGUGUCUGAGUCUAUAUACAAUCGUUAAAACUUUUAGCAAUGGAUCUCUAGAUCGGAAGAGCACACG
RNAcentral lists this unclassified non-coding RNA (240 nucleotides) under soil metagenome. RNAcentral's name for it is "partial contains 5.8S ribosomal RNA, internal transcribed spacer 2, and large subunit ribosomal RNA". The record is from RNAcentral.